AGAAUCAACGCUGGCGGCGUGCCUAACACAUGCAAGUCGCACGAGAAAGGGGAGCAAUCCCUGAGUAAAGUGGCGCACGGGUGAGUAACACGUGAAUGAUCUACCUCCGAGUGGGGAAUAACUGAGAGAAAUCUUAGCUAAUACCGCAUAACACUUACGAGUCAAAGCAGCAAUGCGCUUGGAGAGGAGUUCGCGGCCGAUUAGCUAGUUGGCGGGGUAAUGGCCCACAAGGCGAUGAUCGGUA
This 244-nucleotide ribosomal RNA is filed under the name uncultured bacterium. RNAcentral's name for it is "partial small subunit ribosomal RNA". It matches the Rfam family "Bacterial small subunit ribosomal RNA", at positions 26 to 285 of the family's 1533-position model. The record is from RNAcentral.